GACGAACGCUGGCGGCGUGCUUAACACAUGCAAGUCGAACGGUGAAGCGCCUUCCUUUUUGGUGGGUGUGGAUGAGUGGCGAACGGGUGAGUAACACGUGAGUAACCUGCCCCCUUCUUCUGGAUAACCGCAUGAAAGUGUGGCUAAUACGGGAUAUUCUGGGUCUGUCGCAUGAUGGGUCUGGGAAAGAUAUUGUUUCGGUGGGGGAUGGGCUCGCGGCCUAUCAGCUUGUUGGUGGGGUGAUGGCCUACCAAGGUGGUGACGGGUAGCCGGCCUGAGAGGGUGGACGGUCACACUGGGACUGAGACACGGCCCAGACUCCUACGGGAGGCAGCAGUGGGGAAUAUUGCACAAUGGGCGCAAGCCUGAUGCAGCGACGCCGCGUGAGGGAUGGAGGCCUUCGGGUUGUGAACCUCUUUCGCCAGUGAAGCAGGCCUGCCUCGUUUGUGGGUGGGUUGACGGUAGCUGGAGAAGAAGCGCCGGCUAACUACGUG
RNAcentral lists this ribosomal RNA (494 nucleotides) under uncultured bacterium. RNAcentral's name for it is "partial 16S ribosomal RNA". It matches the Rfam family "Bacterial small subunit ribosomal RNA", at positions 28 to 507 of the family's 1533-position model. The record is from RNAcentral.